AUACGUAGGGGGCGAGCGUUGUCCGGAAUGAUUGGGCGUAAAGGGCGCGUAGGCGGCCCGGUAAGUCUGGAGUGAAAGUCCUGCUUUUAAGGUGGGAAUUGCUUUGGAUACUGUCGGGCUUGAGUGCAGGAGAGGGAAGUGGAAUUCCCAGUGUAGCGGUGAAAUGCGUAGAGAUUGGGAGGAACACCAGUGGCGAAGGCGACUUACUGGACUGUAACUGACGCUGAGGCGCGAAAGUGUGGGGAGCAAACAGGAUUAGAUACCCUGGUAGUCCACACUGUAAACGAUGAAUGCUAGGUGUAGGGGGUAUCGACCCCUUCUGUGCCGCAGUUAACACAAUAAGCAUUCCGCCUGGGGAGUACGGCCGCAAGGUUGAAACUCAAAUGAAUUGACGGGG
RNAcentral lists this ribosomal RNA (397 nucleotides) under uncultured bacterium. RNAcentral's name for it is "partial 16S ribosomal RNA". It matches the Rfam family "Bacterial small subunit ribosomal RNA", at positions 523 to 918 of the family's 1533-position model. The record is from RNAcentral.